Long non-coding RNA from Galeopterus variegatus (Sunda flying lemur), 716 nucleotides. RefSeq lists it as uncharacterized. The record is from RefSeq and is a predicted model, not a curated record. NCBI's taxonomy places the organism in Eukaryota, Metazoa, Chordata, Mammalia, Dermoptera, Cynocephalidae. The transcript is spliced from 3 exons.
UGGAACUUGCUCCUACUAUAAACGCUCUUACUUCAGAAACAUGAUGAGGAAAUGGAGAGACCAUGCGUUCCUUUCUCUGCAGGGCAUCUGACUUGGAUCGGGAGGAGAGAAGAUGGUAACUCAAGGGAAUAAGUAGAUGUAGAGAAGAGCUCUGGUGGUGCAUCAGAUUUACCCCCCACACGUCGCCACAAGCCAAUGAAAAGGGAACAGAGAGCAAUGGCUGACAAGGGUUAAGUUUCAAUGGGGAAGAAGAAGGAAGAACACUGAAGCCACCCUGGCUGAGUGACCAGAGGAAUGCAAGCUCCAGGACAAGGUGCGUGACGUGGAGGAGAGACUACUGAGGUCUGUGCGUGCAGGUGUGAUCACCAGUCUUUCCUGACCUUUGCCCCAUCUUACUCUAAUGUCCAUUGCUCCUUCCACUCACCCACUCAGGACCUUCCAAGGGCUCCCUCUUGCCUAUGAAGAGGAACUAAAACUCCAAAAAGGCUCUUCAUGCUCUGACUCGGCCUCUCCAGUCAACCUAAUCUCAGCCCACUCCAGUUCCCUGCAAUGCCUGCCCUGACACUGCCAGGCAGUCUCCUGGCUCCAGCAGUUUGUUCUUCCUGUCAUCUCUAACUGAAACGGCUAUUCUCUCUCAUUCCUGUGUCUCCAGAUCUUCUCCAUCUUCAAGGCCCAGUCAAAUAAAGCCUUCCCUAUUCACCCUAGCCAGGAACAAA